RNAcentral lists this ribosomal RNA (254 nucleotides) under uncultured bacterium. Its description in RNAcentral is "partial 16S ribosomal RNA". It matches the Rfam family "Bacterial small subunit ribosomal RNA", at positions 524 to 776 of the family's 1533-position model. The record is from RNAcentral.
UACGGGGGGAGCAAGCGUUGUUCGGAUUUACUGGGCGUAAAGGGCGCGUAGGCGGUCGUGACAAGUCACUUGUGAAAUCUCCGGGCUUAACUCGGAAAGGUCAAGUGAUACUGUCGGACUAGAGUACAGAAGGGGCAACUGGAAUUCUCGGUGUAGCGGUGAAAUGCGUAGAUAUCUGGAGGAAUACCGGUGGCGAAGGCGGCAUCCUGGACCGACAUUGACGCUGAUGAGCGAAAGCUAGGGGAGCAAACGGG